CUGUCGAGUGAAACGAGGCUGCGAUCUUUUGAUCUUGGGAUUCAAGUGGGCCUGAAAGGAUCGCAGCCUCGUUUCACUCGACAG
Molecule: unclassified non-coding RNA, 84 nt
Filed under: Pseudomonas arsenicoxydans
Lineage: Bacteria; Pseudomonadati; Pseudomonadota; Gammaproteobacteria; Pseudomonadales; Pseudomonadaceae
Source: RNAcentral